UACAGAGGGGGCAAGCGUUGUUCGGAAUUACUGGGCGUAAAGGGCGCGUAGGCGGCCUGUUAAGUCGAACGUGAAAUCCCCGGGCUCAACCCGGGAACUGCGUCCGAAACUGGCAGGCUCGAAUUCGGGAGAGGGAUGUGGAAUUCCAGGUGUAGCGGUGAAAUGCGUAGAUAUCGAGAGGAACACCUGCGGCGAAGGCGAGUCUCUGGACGACUCCUGACACUGAGGCACGAAAGCUGGGGGAGCAAACAGG
Molecule: ribosomal RNA, 253 nt
Filed under: uncultured bacterium
Lineage: Bacteria
Description: partial 16S ribosomal RNA
Rfam family: Bacterial small subunit ribosomal RNA
Source: RNAcentral